This 395-nucleotide ribosomal RNA is filed under the name uncultured bacterium. Its description in RNAcentral is "partial 16S ribosomal RNA". It matches the Rfam family "Bacterial small subunit ribosomal RNA", at positions 523 to 918 of the family's 1533-position model. The record is from RNAcentral.
AUACGUAGGGUGCAAGCGUUAAUCGGAAUUACUGGGCGUAAAGCGUGCGCAGGCGGUUUUGUAAGACAGUGGUGAAAUCCCCGGGCUCAAACUGGGAACUGCCAUUGUGACUGCAAGGCUGGAGUGCGGCAGAGGGGGAUGGAAUUCCGCGUGUAGCAGUGUAAUGCGUAGAUAUGCGGAGGAACACCGAUGGCGAAGGCAAUCCCCUGGGCCUGCACUGACGCUCAUGCACGAAAGCGUGGGGAGCAAACAGGAUUAGAUACCCUGGUAGUCCACGCCCUAAACGAUGUCAACUGGUUGUUGGGUCUUCAUUGACUCAGUAACGAAGCUAACGCGUGAAGUUGACCGCCUGGGGAGUACGGCCGCAAGGUUGAAACUCAAAUGAAUUGACGGGG